RNAcentral lists this ribosomal RNA (544 nucleotides) under uncultured bacterium. Its description in RNAcentral is "bacterial SSU rRNA". It matches the Rfam family "Bacterial small subunit ribosomal RNA", at positions 777 to 1320 of the family's 1533-position model. The record is from RNAcentral.
AAUAGAUACCCUGGUAGUCCACGCCGUAAACGAUGAGUGCUAAGUGUUAGGGGGUUUCCGCCCCUUAGUGCUGCAGCUAACGCAUUAAGCACUCCGCCUGGGGAGUACGGUCGCAAGACUGAAACUCAAAGGAAUUGACGGGGGCCCGCGCAAGCGGUGGAGCAUGUGGUUUAAUUCGAAGCAACGCGAAGAACCUUACCAGGUCUUGACAUCCCAUUGACCACUAUGGAGACAUAGUUUUCCCUUCGGGGACAACGGUGACAGGUGGUGCAUGGUUGUCGUCAGCUCGUGUCGUGAGAUGUUGGGUUAAGUCCCGCAACGAGCGCAACCCUUGUUCUUAGUUGCCAUCAUUUAGUUGGGCACUCUAAGGAGACUGCCGGUGACAAACCGGAGGAAGGUGGGGAUGACGUCAAAUCAUCAUGCCCCUUAUGACCUGGGCUACACACGUGCUACAAUGGACGGUACAAACGGUUGCCAACCCGCGAGGGGAGCUAAUCCGAUAAAACCGUUCUCAGUUCGGAUUGUAGGCUGCAACUCGCCUACA